RNAcentral lists this ribosomal RNA (253 nucleotides) under uncultured bacterium. RNAcentral describes it as "partial 16S ribosomal RNA". It matches the Rfam family "Bacterial small subunit ribosomal RNA", at positions 524 to 776 of the family's 1533-position model. The record is from RNAcentral.
UACCGAGGUCCCAAGCGUUAAUCGGAAUCACUGGGCGUAAAGGGCGCGUAGGCGGUCUGUUAAGUCCGAUGUUAAAGACUGGGGCUCAACCCCAGCAUUGCGUUGGAUACUGGCAGGCUUGACGGUUGGAGAGGCGAGUGGAAUUACCAGUGUAGCGGUGAAAUGCGUAGAUAUCAGGAGGAACGCCGGUGGUGUAGACGGCUCUCUGGACCAUUACUGACGCUGAGGUACGAAAGCGUGGGUAGCAAACAGG